GUGCUCGCUUCUGCAGCGCAAAGACUAAAAUUGGGACGAUACAGAGAAGAUUAGCAUGGCCCCUG
Molecule: small nuclear RNA, 65 nt
Filed under: Salvator merianae (Argentine black and white tegu)
Lineage: Eukaryota; Metazoa; Chordata; Lepidosauria; Squamata; Teiidae
Source: RNAcentral